RNAcentral lists this long non-coding RNA (476 nucleotides) under Linum usitatissimum (flax). RNAcentral describes it as "long non-coding RNA (LUSI_LNC006493)". Lineage: Eukaryota; Viridiplantae; Streptophyta; Magnoliopsida; Malpighiales; Linaceae. The record is from RNAcentral.
CAGGACACAACACCUAGACCCUUCAUCUCUACUACAUCAAUAUAUAUAAUUCCUCACUUCACUCUCUUCACUUUCCACAAAAAAUCUAAUGCAGAGUCUUCAAAAUGUUCAGCAACCGGCUGUCGGUCGUCGGUUCAACCAGCUGGGCGAUCAGAAGCCAUUCAUGAGCGGUGGCCUCUCGUCGCUUGCUACUCGGUCAACCAGUAGGCAAGCGGGCAACAAUAACAAUAUGCAGACGAAGCAGCCCACGGUGGCCGGAAGUGGUAGUGGUCGUCUGAGGCAUGCCGGAGCCGUGAAGGCCUUACUAGGUUUAAGUAACCUAUUGGCGUCCACCAAGGUGAAGGCGGUGGCGGGCGGUGGUGACGGUGAAGCAGACUGUUGGUGGGUUUUUGGCUGACACAGUCCUUUUGCCCAACACUGUUGCUGACCUCAUCGGUACAACUAUGAUCUUGGAGCUCAUUCCCGCCGACCUUGAU